Molecule: ribosomal RNA, 424 nt
Filed under: uncultured bacterium
Lineage: Bacteria
Description: bacterial SSU rRNA
Rfam family: Bacterial small subunit ribosomal RNA
Source: RNAcentral
UGGGGAAUCUUGCACAAUGGAGGAAACUCUGAUGCAGCGACGCCGCGUGAGCGAUGAAGCCCUUCGGGGUGUAAAGCUCUUUCGACGGGAACGAUAAUGACGGUACCCGAAGAAGAAGCUGCGGCUAACUACGUGCCAGCAGCCGCGGUAAUACGUAGGCAGCAAGCGUUGUUCGGAAUUACUGGGCGUAAAGAGUGUGUAGGCGGUGUUCUAAGUUUGUCGUGAAAUCUCCCGGCUUAACUGGGAGGGUGCGGCGAAAACUGGAAUGCUAGAGGAUGGGAGAGGUAAGCGGAAUUCCUGGUGUAGCGGUGAAAUGCGUAGAUAUCAGGAGGAACACCUGUGGUGUAGACAGCUUACUGGACCAUUUCUGACGCUGAGACACGAAAGCGUGGGUAGCAAACAGGAUUAGAUACCCCCGUAGUCC